RNAcentral lists this ribosomal RNA (479 nucleotides) under uncultured bacterium. RNAcentral's name for it is "partial 16S ribosomal RNA". It matches the Rfam family "Bacterial small subunit ribosomal RNA", at positions 28 to 507 of the family's 1533-position model. The record is from RNAcentral.
GACGAACGCUGGCGGCGUGCUUAACACAUGCAAGUCGAACGAAGCAUGAUUACGGAUUUUUCGGAUGAAGUAUGAUAUGAAUGAGUGGCGGACGGGUGAGUAACGCGUGAGUAACCUGCCUUACACAGGGGGAUAGCGUUUGGAAACGAACGGUAAUACCGCAUAAUGUAUUUUGAGCGCAUGAUAGAAUUAUCAAAGAUUUAUCGCUGUAGGAUGGACUCGCGUCUGAUUAGGUAGUUGGUGGGGUAACGGCCUACCAAGCCGACGAUCAGUAGCCGGAGUGUGAGGGUGUGCAGCCACAUAGUGACAGAGACACGGGCCAGACACCUACGGGAGGCAGCAGUGUGGAAUAUUGCACAAUGGGCGCAAGCCUGAGGCAGCAACGCCGCGUGAAGUAAGACGGUUUUCGGAGUGUAAACUUCUGUUCUUAGUGAAGAAAAAUGACGGUAGCUAAGGAGCAAGCCACGGCUAACUACGUG